Molecule: ribosomal RNA, 253 nt
Filed under: uncultured bacterium
Lineage: Bacteria
Description: partial 16S ribosomal RNA
Rfam family: Bacterial small subunit ribosomal RNA
Source: RNAcentral
UACGUAGGGUGCAAGCGUUGUCCGGAAUUAUUGGGCGUAAAGAGCUCGUAGGCGGCUUGUCACGUCGGCUGUGAAAACCCGGGGCUCAACCCCGGGCCUGCAGUCGAUACGGGCAAGCUAGAGUUCGGCAGGGGAGACUGGAAUUCCUGGUGUAGCGGUGAAAUGCGCAGAUAUCAGGAAGAACACCCGUGGCGAAAGCGGCUCUCUGGAACGGUACUGACGCUGAGACGCGAAAGCGUGGGGAGCGAACAGG